Molecule: ribosomal RNA, 253 nt
Filed under: uncultured bacterium
Lineage: Bacteria
Description: partial 16S ribosomal RNA
Rfam family: Bacterial small subunit ribosomal RNA
Source: RNAcentral
UACAGAGGUGGCAAGCGUUGUUCGGAAUUACUGGGCGUAAAGGGCGCGUAGGCGGCCUACUAAGUCAGACGUGAAAUCCCUCGGCUUAACCGGGGAACUGCGUCUGAUACUGGAUGGCUUGAGUGUGGGAGAGGGAUGCGGAAUUCCAGGUGUAGCGGUGAAAUGCGUAGAUAUCUGGAGGAACACCGGUGGCGAAGGCGGCAUCCUGGACCACGACUGACGCUGAGGCACGAAAGCGUGGGGAUCAAACAGG